RNAcentral lists this ribosomal RNA (491 nucleotides) under uncultured bacterium. Its description in RNAcentral is "partial 16S ribosomal RNA". It matches the Rfam family "Bacterial small subunit ribosomal RNA", at positions 27 to 507 of the family's 1533-position model. The record is from RNAcentral.
GAUUGAACGCUGGCGGCAGGCCUAACACAUGCAAGUCGAACGGUAACCGGAAGAAGCUUGCUUCUUUGCUGACGAGUGGCGGACGGGUGAGUAAUGUCUGGGAAACUGCCUGAUGGAGGGGGAUAACUACUGGAAACGGUAGCUAAUACCGCAUAACGUCGCAAGACCAAAGAGGGGGACCUUCGGGCCUCUUGCCAUCGGAUGUGCCCAGAUGGGAUUAGCUAGUAGGUGGGGUAACGGCUCACCUAGGCGACGAUCCCUAGCUGGGCUGAGAGGAUGACCAGCCACACUGGAACUGAGACACGGUCCAGACUCCUACGGGAGGCAGCAGUGGGGAAUAUUGCACAAUGGGCGCAAGCCUGAUGCAGCCAUGCCGCGUGUAUGAAGAAGGCCUUCGGGUUGUAAAGUACUUUCAGCGGGGAGGAAGGGAGUAAAGUUAAUACCUUUGCUCAUUGACGUUACCCGCAGAAGAAGCACCGGCUAACUCCGUG